This 88-nucleotide transfer RNA is filed under the name Pteropus alecto (black flying fox). It matches the Rfam family "tRNA". From Rfam's summary of the family: Transfer RNA (tRNA) molecules are approximately 80 nucleotides in length. Their secondary structure includes four short double-helical elements and three loops (D, anti-codon, and T loops). Lineage: Eukaryota; Metazoa; Chordata; Mammalia; Chiroptera; Pteropodidae. The record is from Rfam by way of RNAcentral. RNAcentral also lists the same sequence under 2 other names.
CCUUCGAUAGCUCAGUUGGUAGAGCGGAGGACUGUAGCGGAAGGUCCCAGGCAUCCUUAGGUCGCUGGUUCGAAUCCGGCUCGAAGGA